This 1611-nucleotide unclassified non-coding RNA is filed under the name Leishmania donovani. RNAcentral describes it as "gene:unknown". Lineage: Eukaryota; Euglenozoa; Kinetoplastea; Trypanosomatida; Trypanosomatidae. The record is from RNAcentral.
CUCUGGUGCACUCAUCCUACUCGAGCGUUGCCUUCACCACCGCAGGGUCACUGUUUCUGUUGGUGCUGCUGCUGCCACAAGAGAGGGAGAAAGGAAGUAGAAGGGGGUGCGGUGGCAACCGUCGUUGUCGCUGCUGUAGCUCCGCCACUGCCAUUGCUGCCCGCCUUGCUCUUCACAGCUCUUCUCGCUCGCAACACGUGCGCUCUCUCUUACCAAUGCCUGAUGCCUGUGUGUGUGUUCAUCCGUCAAACAUGUACGUAUCCUGUGAUUUCAUAUGAGAGCUGGUUUCGCUCUCCUUCACUUGCUGUGUAUCCUCUUCGCCCCUUUCCUCAUCUCUCUGUCUGUGUCUGUGUGUGUGCCCUCACCUGCCCCCUUCUCUGCCUCCUUCAUGACCUGUCUGCUUGGUCUUCUCUGUGCUUCUCCAUUUCGCUUUCUCCCUCCGCUUUCUCGUGCUGUGCGUUCCUUUCUCGUGUUCGCCUUCGAUGGUGAUGUUGCGUGCUGCGUUGCUGAUAUCCAUCUUGAUGGCGACUGGCUGAUUGUUCUUCUUUAUACGGGGAAGGGGGGUGCUCGCUCUCCAACGAAGGCCCCCAACAUUUUCCUCGAUAUCAUUGUGGUCGUGGAUGGAGGGACUGCGCUGCCUGGGAGAGGAUGGUGUGUGCUGCUGGUAUCGUGGCUAUGGUGGUGGUGAUGGCGCGAGCGUAUGCGCGUCUCUCCCGCUCUCUGUUUAUGCGCAUCUACGGGACCGCGCUAGCCUCGUUUAGAAUCCACGGAUGCAACGCACGGCUGCUUACCUGUGACAUGGACGGGACGUGCGACACACUGGCGCACACAGUCUCCUGCACAUGCACCGGCAAGAAACGUAUACACGCAUAUCCUUCCCUUGUGUGAACCGCAGGAGAGCUCUUCAGCGUGUGCAUGUGCCCCUCUCGGGUUAGUGAGGUGAGGGGCAGGGGUGGGGUCGAUGAGAAGACGAGCACUGCAUGUCGUGAGCGCGGCCGCCCAUCCUCUGUUUUGGUGCACGCGCUCUCUUCAUCUUUUCCGUCGCUCUGCUCCUCUGUGUUGGGUGCGCAUUCGCUAAUCUCGGGCUGACGGCUCUCGUUCUCACGUACGGGACCGCAUGUGAGCGGGCGCGUGGGUGUGCGCUACCGUGAGAACACAUAGAGCGCGCCCCCACGUGCACACGCGCGCGCCUCGCUGGAGGAGGUUGCCGGAUCAUUUGGAUGCGCCGAUGGAAGAGAAAACCAAAGAGCGAAAAACUGAAGGAAUGCACUGUGAGCAGACACCCAGGCAGUGCGCUGGUACCAUCGCUGGCAGUGGAGAUGCCGUGCAUCGUCGUCCUGCCCCCACCCCCCUUCACACUGAGCACUGUAUGGCGAAGGGAGAUCGCAUAUGAGUCGAAAGCUGCAUCAUCACGUAUCGAAGGUAGUUCGUGCACAGAUGUCAGUGCGUAGCCGCUGUAAAGAAAAGGUAACAGAGGAGGCGUUUCGCUGCUGGUCCACCCAGUAGGCUGAGGGCGAUUUCCGUGCUUGCCUCGGCGUCAUUGGCUCACAUACGACCAACCUUUUCUUCUGCGCCCUGCCCUGUGCACGUGUACGUGCUUCCCUCCCUAAG